This 433-nucleotide ribosomal RNA is filed under the name uncultured bacterium. RNAcentral describes it as "partial 16S ribosomal RNA". It matches the Rfam family "Bacterial small subunit ribosomal RNA", at positions 29 to 507 of the family's 1533-position model. The record is from RNAcentral.
AACGAACGCUGGCGGCAUGCCUAACACAUGCAAGUCGAACGAGACCUUCGGGUCUAGUGGCGCACGGGUGCGUAACGCGUGGGAACCUGCCCUUAGGUUCGGAAUAACUCUCCGAAAGGGGUGCUAAUACCGGAUAAUGUCUUCGGACCAAAGAUUUAUCGCCUUUGGAUGGGCCCGCGUUGGAUUAGCUAGUUGGUAGGGUAAAAGCCUACCAAGGCGACGAUCCAUAGCUGGUCAGAGAGGAUGGUCAGCCACACCGGGAGUGAGACACGGCCCAGACUCCUACGGGAGGCAGCAGUGGGGGAUAGUGGACAAUGGGCGAAAGCCUGAUCCAGCAAGGCCGCGUGAGUGAUGAAGGCCUUAGGGUUGUAAAGCUCUUUUAACCGGGAUGAUAAUGACAGUACCGGGAGAAUAAGCUCCGGCUAACUCCGUG